RNAcentral lists this transfer RNA (72 nucleotides) under Camelus bactrianus (Bactrian camel). It matches the Rfam family "tRNA". Rfam says of the family: Transfer RNA (tRNA) molecules are approximately 80 nucleotides in length. The record is from Rfam by way of RNAcentral. Lineage: Eukaryota; Metazoa; Chordata; Mammalia; Artiodactyla; Camelidae. RNAcentral also lists the same sequence under 2 other names.
GAAGGCACAGCUCAGGGGUAGAGUGUGUGCUUAGCAUGCACGAGGUCCUGGGUUCCAUCCCCAGCACCUCCA